ACGAACGCUGGCGGCGUGCUUAAGACAUGCAAGUCGAGCGGGGGGACCCAGAGCAGCUUGCUGUGAGGGUUCCCUAGCGGCGGACGGGUGAGUAACGCGUGGGCAACCUACCCGCGAAUCGGGGACAACAGUGGGAAACCGCUGCUAAUACCGGAUGAGCUUUUCUGACCGCAUGGUCGGGGAAGGAAAAGGCAGCCUCUGCCAUAGCAAGCUGUCGUUCGCGGAUGGGCCCGCGUCCCAUUAGCUAGUUGGUGGAGGUAACGGCCCACCAAGGCGGCGAUGGGUAGCCG
RNAcentral lists this ribosomal RNA (290 nucleotides) under uncultured bacterium. RNAcentral's name for it is "partial 16S ribosomal RNA". It matches the Rfam family "Bacterial small subunit ribosomal RNA", at positions 29 to 289 of the family's 1533-position model. The record is from RNAcentral.